Molecule: ribosomal RNA, 253 nt
Filed under: uncultured bacterium
Lineage: Bacteria
Description: partial 16S ribosomal RNA
Rfam family: Bacterial small subunit ribosomal RNA
Source: RNAcentral
UACGGAGGGGGCUAGCGUUGUUCGGAAUUACUGGGCGUAAAGCGCGCGUAGGCGGCCUGACAAGUCGGGUGUGAAAGCCCUCGGCUCAACCGAGGAAGUGCACUCGAAACUGGCAAGCUUGAGUAUGGAAGAGGGUCGCGGAAUUCCCGGUGUAGAGGUGAAAUUCGUAGAUAUCGGGAGGAACACCAGCGGCGAAGGCGGCGACCUGGGCCAAUACUGACGCUGAGGUGCGAAAGCGUGGGGAGCAAACAGG